AACAAAUGGAUGAGCUGUUACAGCAAUGCUUCUUACAUGCCUUGAAGUGCCGAGUCAAAAAGGCUGACCUCCCUUUACUCACCAGCACUUUCCUUGGCAGCCACAUGUUCUCCUGCUGCCCCGAAGGACGACAACUGGACAUAAAGAAGUCAAGCUACAAAAAGGAAGGGGAGCUUUCUGGAGGGCAGUGAGGUCCGAACGAUCGUCAUUAACUACGCCAAGAAAAAUGACCUGGUUGAUGCAGACAACAAAAAUCUUGUGAGAUUGGAUCCCAUCCUAUGUGACUGCAUCUUAGAGAAAAAUGAACAGCAUACAGUCAUGAAGCUUCCAUGGGACAGUCUUCUGACCAGGUGUUUGGAAAAAUUACAGCCUGCCUAUCAAGUGACCCUUCCCGGACAAGAGCCCAUUGUGAAGAAAGGGAGAAUCUGUCCAAUUGACAUCACCCUAGCACAAAGAGCGUCUAAUAAAAAGGUAAUUUUAGAAAGA
This 486-nucleotide long non-coding RNA is filed under the name Homo sapiens (human). RNAcentral's name for it is "non-protein coding lnc-EIF2D-2:1". Lineage: Eukaryota; Metazoa; Chordata; Mammalia; Primates; Hominidae. The record is from RNAcentral.